Molecule: unclassified non-coding RNA, 241 nt
Filed under: Hevea brasiliensis (rubber tree)
Lineage: Eukaryota; Viridiplantae; Streptophyta; Magnoliopsida; Malpighiales; Euphorbiaceae
Source: RNAcentral
AAUCAUCAAGCAAGGUUAUUGAGAUGAAUUCAUCUUCCAUCAUGAGCAAGAGAACUAGAUUCUUGUGUUCUAGGUCUUUUCACUCUCUAGAAAAUGAAGGCCAUCACCUAUGCGUUCCAAAUUUUCCACGCAGGCAGUGGACCAGAAACAUUUGGAAAUGAAAGAUCCAAAGAACUUAUGGAAAAGAAUCUGGGGAUACCCUUUCACUGACCGUAGAACCAAAUUGUGGCCCACCCUUGCG